UUCCUCACAAAGUUGAAACAACUUAAAACUUUUCUGUUCGGUUAACGAUUCAAACAGUUAUAAUUGUACAUGGCUUAGAAGUUAAGAGUAAAUACUGCUUUCUUAAUUAUGAUUUUUGAGUAAAUGUUUUUUUCCGAGCUCCGCAUGUGGACGUCAUGACGUCAUGACGUCUUCUCUCUAACCUGAACGACGUUGACAGAAAAUUCUGUUCAAUAUGGCUGCCCUUCUCGAGCGACUGGAGAACACAUUUGGAGAAACUUGCUGAAGACCAAAGACAAAAAGACAGAAGAAAAAUUCAGACUGCAAUUAAUUUCAGGUGGAGACAGUAAACACAGAUCUACCAAGGGUCAGUGGCACAGUUCACCUUUUGUGGAGGCGCCUGAUAUCAAUGUGAAACGCACUGCAGUACUUCGUGCCCUUCCUGUAUACCUGCGGGAUGAGGACCCAGAAUUCUUUUAGACAUGUAAUGCGGACGCAUUGGAUGAGUCGACCCUCAUUGACACUUCAGUUGCCCUUCUCACAGACGGCGCUUCCCAGUCCAGUCCAUUUUACUUCCUCAAGCAUGGCUGUUGUGGUGAAAGGCGGCUAGGUGAUGCAUGAUAUUCCCAGAUUUGCAGAUGCAUUUUCUUUAUUGUUUGGCUUGAUCUAUGCUCUGCAUUUAGACUACCCCAGGAAGCUGGUUCACACAUUUGCCUUUGUCCAAAAUAUCUUCAUGGGGCUUGAUGACGGCAAACCCCUGAAACCCCUGCCUACAUGCUCUUAAGGAAUAUAAGGCAAUGUUUGUUAGGACACGCACUCUGUUACUGAGCACUUUGUUUGAAGCACUUUAAGCACUUUGUUUACUACAGGCUUUGGGUGGAUUUAACUCCAUCAGUUUACCUAAUUUUCCUAUACUUGACUGCCUUAUCUGGUUAUUUGGAAGCUGAUCGUCUUUGUACCCAUUUUAAAAAAUUGUUUUUCAUUUCUAUUUAAAAAAAAAGUGAUUAGUAUUUGACUUUUUGUUUUGCAUUUUUGUGUAUUUUGAGAAAGAUGCAAUUAGGACUGAUGUCGUCCUUUGUGAUUUUAUAAAAAGAUAAAUGUUCUACACAGAAUUUAUAAUGCUCACUUUAUGGUGCCGAUGUCCAUGUUAGUUGUUUUAUAAAAACAUUUGUGAUGUUUUUAAAUUUUCAUGAAAAAAUGUUAA
Molecule: long non-coding RNA, 1183 nt
Organism: Maylandia zebra (zebra mbuna)
Lineage: Eukaryota; Metazoa; Chordata; Actinopteri; Cichliformes; Cichlidae
Source: RefSeq, a predicted model, not a curated record